Nerophis lumbriciformis (worm pipefish) is the source of this 776-nucleotide long non-coding RNA. RefSeq lists it as uncharacterized. NCBI's taxonomy places the organism in Eukaryota, Metazoa, Chordata, Actinopteri, Syngnathiformes, Syngnathidae. The record is from RefSeq and is a predicted model, not a curated record.
UCAAGAUAUUUCAUUUGAAGUAUUAAAAGAAAUAACAAAUUAGGGGAUAGGGGUUCAGUUUCAGGUGUGAGUGGAAAUGAAAAGGCAGAUGAGUUGGCAUUGAGAGCUCUAAGAAAAGAAAACAUAGAUAUGCAUGUUAAUGAGUAAUGCAGAGAUGACAUGUGAAAAGUGUUGGAGGAUGGCAAGGGAGGUGGGAUAGAGAAGGCAAAGGAAGACAUGAUAGGAAAUAUACCAGUGUGUGGAUGUUGAAAGGGUCAGAAGUGCAGUAAGGAGUGAAGAAUAUACUGACACGAUUAAGAAGGUGGCGGUAAAUGCACCGUAAAGCUGGAUGCCAACCGCCAUAAAACACGAAGAAGAAAGUACCUUUUGGGCAAAUCCUGUGGAAAGUUUGCGUGCUACACCAGCAGCUGAUUACCUGCAUGACAGCGCACGGCGCUACAUGUCCACCGUCCAUUCAUGUCUUCUAGAUUAAGAUCAGUAAAUGUACAUGAGGCACCGAUUCCAACAAGACAUGUCUGCUUAUCAACACCAAGAUGUCCCCUUUAUGGUGAAAAAUAACUUCAUUCCACAAAAUCCUAUCUUCCUGAAAUGUUUUGGGAAGGACGUGACAUGGCUGCCAACUCGCAUGAACCCUGAGAUGUAGCCUGGCCUGGAUGUAUCCUCUGGUUUCCUGGAAGGCUUGUCUCUGAGAAACCUCAGCAGGGUAGUGGGUGCAGAUUCCAAUGAUGUUGGUGCACAGGAAAAUAAGGACAUUUGCACUCACCUGUAGAAAGAGA